This 442-nucleotide ribosomal RNA is filed under the name uncultured bacterium. RNAcentral describes it as "bacterial SSU rRNA". It matches the Rfam family "Bacterial small subunit ribosomal RNA", at positions 62 to 507 of the family's 1533-position model. The record is from RNAcentral.
UCGAACGAGAAAAGUAGCAAUACUAAGUACAGUGGCGCACGGGUGAGAAACGCGUGAGAAUCUUCCUCUAAGUGAAGAAUACCCUGGUAGAAAUCCAGGUUAAUACCGCAUAAGCCCGCAAGGGGAAAGGUGGCCUCAAGCUACCGCUUAGAGAUGAGCUUGCGUCCUAUUAGCUAGUUGGCAGGGUAAAAGCCUACCAAGGCAAAAAUGGGUAGCCGACCUGAGAGGGUGAUCGGCCACACUGGAACUGAGACACGGUCCAGACUCCUACGGGGGGCAGCAGUGGGGAAUAUUGCACAAUGGGCGAAAGCCUGAUGCAGCGACGCCGCGUGGAGGAUGAAGGUUUUCGGAUUGUAAACUCCUGUUAAGUGGGAAGAAAGGCUUCUACCUAAUACGUAGAGGAGAUGACGGUACCACUAGAGAAAGCACCGGCAACUUCGUG